GGAAGGAUCAUUAACACUAAUCCAACUCAACUCAACGAAGCCUUCAGUUGCAGCAGUGCUCAAGCGCCGCUGCAGCACCAAAACAAACUAAUACCAAAGGAGCCUAACUAAGCUCAACCACAACAACCAAAUUCUCAACGAUGGAUAUCUUGGUUCCCAUAACGAUGAAGAACGCAGCGAAGUGCGAUAAGCAAUGCGAAUUGCAGAACCGUGAGUCAUCAGAUUUUUGAACGCAACUGGCGCUGGCUGGGUCUCCAGCCAGCAUGCUUGUUUCAGUGUCUUGUUUUCUCCUCACCCAGAUCAUAAUGCGAGAGAUGCCCUUCUCUUGCCAAGUACGAAAGCACUCUGCGCUCGGCGCGCGGCGAUCUCGACUUGCUCGGGUGCCGCACUCAAUGCAGCCGUCACAUUGCUCACAAUGUGAACUCAUUGGGAGCCGAGGCAGUGCAGCUUCUGCUGCCAGUGCUUAGCCAGCCAAACUCUCCUUGCAUCUGAAAUCAAGCAGGAUCACCCGCUGAACUUAAGCAUAUCACUAAGCGGAGGAAAAGAAAUUAACUAAGAUUGCCUCAGUAACGGCGAGUGAAGCGGCAAGAGCCCAAGCUGGAAAUCUUCACACUGCGUGUGACGAAUUGUAAUCUAAAGAGGGUUCGCUCAACGGGCGGUGGCGCAGAAGUGCCUUAGAACGGGCCGCCAGAGAGGGUGACAGCCCCGUACGUGGUGCCACUGCUUAACGAGCGGGCUCCCGAAGAGUCGGGUUGUUUUGUAUUGCAGCCCUAAGUGGGAGAUAAACUUCUUCUAAGGCUAAAUACCUAUGGGAAACCGAUAGCGAACAAGUACUGUGAAGGAAAGAUGAAAAGAACUUUGAAAAGAGAGUCAAAAGACUUGAAAUCGUUGAGAAGGAA
RNAcentral lists this unclassified non-coding RNA (899 nucleotides) under uncultured Sporadotrichida. RNAcentral's name for it is "sequence contains 18S rRNA gene, ITS1, 5.8S rRNA gene, ITS2, 28S rRNA gene". The stretch from base 485 to 899 matches the Rfam family "Eukaryotic large subunit ribosomal RNA", at positions 1 to 418 of the family's 3401-position model. Lineage: Eukaryota; Ciliophora; Spirotrichea; Sporadotrichida. The record is from RNAcentral.